This 5211-nucleotide long non-coding RNA is filed under the name Piliocolobus tephrosceles (Ugandan red Colobus). RNAcentral describes it as "lncRNA (ENSPTEG00000013852.1)". Lineage: Eukaryota; Metazoa; Chordata; Mammalia; Primates; Cercopithecidae. The record is from RNAcentral.
AAAAGGAUGAAAAUGGAGAAAAGGAUGGAAAUGGAGAAAAGGAUGAAAAUGGAAAAAAGGACAAAAACGAUGAAAACGAUGAAAACGAUGAAAACGAUGAAAACGAUGAAAACGACAAAAACGACAAAAACGACAAAAACGAUAACAAUAACGAACAAAUAGUCUACUCUUUUGAAGGAGGAAUAUAUAACGCCUAUUUAAAUUGUAUUGAACAUUUGAAUAAACAAAAAAAAAACGAAAAGAGAAAGCAAGAAAAAGGAGAAAUGCUUGAUAAUGAUGAUGAUGAUGAUGAUGAUGAUAAUGAUGAUGCAUUAUAUGUUGUGGAAGAAGAAAAUAAAAAUUUACUCUUAGAACUAGAUNNNNNNNNNNNNNNNNNNNNNNNNNNNNNNNNNNNNNNNNNNNNNNNNNNNNNNNNNNNNNNNNNNNNNNNNNNNNNNNNNNNNNNNNNNNNNNNNNNNNUUAGAACUAGAUGAUAAUAUUAAAGAUUUGAAUUACAUCGAGCAUAAGAAAAGGUUACUACUAAACAGUGAGCGUAACAACAAUAAUAAUGGUAUUAUUAGUAGUAAUAAUAAUAAUUAUAAUUAUGUUAACAAUUGUGAACAAACGAGAAUAGCAUAUAGUAUUAAACCGUGGCAACAAGGGAUUUUAUGGGAAGAGAAUAUAAAAAAAUGGAUUGUAUUUUUUAAAGACUUAAGCAAAAAUUUAAGAAUCAGUUGCUUUAAUCCAGUUGAUUAUAAUAAUGAUGUAAUAUUAACUUAUAAUAAAUGUCUUGAAUAUUUUAAUUUAAUAAAGAAGUCUAAUAGUUUUGGUGAAUACAUAGAGGAUUUUCCUGAGCUUAUUCAGAAUUUUUUACAAAAUAUAAAAUAUAAUAAAUUAGCAGACGAACAAAAAAUUGUGUCAAAUAGUAGUACUACUACUACUACUACUACUACUACUACUAUGAAUGGUAAUAACAUGCAAGAACCCCAAAUGAUAUACUCAUAUUUGUCUUCGUUGUAUAAUAACACAUCUGGUGGAAAUGGCACAUACAAUUUGUAUAACGCAUACAAUAAGAACAUGGGUUAUAAUGGUUAUAAUAAUGAUAGUAUUAAUAAUGGUGAAUGUAAUUAUAAUUGUUUUAAUAACGUUUGUAAUCAUAGCGUUAGUAAUAGUGAUAGUAAUAAUAAUUGUGCUAGUCACGAAAAAGGAAAAAGAAAGACAAGAGGACGUGGUAAAAAAAAUAAAUGCUUAGACAAUAAUGAAAUUGUAUUAUUUCCUCAUAAUGUUAACUCUGACUUAAAAAGUAAAGGCAAUAAUAGUGCGAGUAUAUAUGAUGAUUCAACAAGUGACGAUUCGGUAUUAUUAAAUUAUAAAGAACAUAAAAAAAAAAGAAAAAGUCAAAAUAAAAAUAAAGACUUAAUAGAUUUUACAGAUGAAAAACAGUUAAGUCAAAAUAAUUUACUUCAGUAUCAUCAUAAUGAAUUUUGCAACAACAUGAAUAUUAUUAGAAGUAUGACAAGAAAUAAUAAUAAUAAUAAUAAUAAUAACAAUAAUGAUGUUAAUACUAUUACAUCUAUAAGACAACCAAAUGACGAUAACAGUAAUGGAAUGACGACACUACUUGCCCCUUUAAAUCAAGAAGAGCUUGAAAAUCGUUUUCCAUUCAACGAAAACAGUAAUAACGAAAUGCCAUUGCAUAGUGAAUUUGUAAAUGGUGAAAAAAAGUACAAAGUGGAUUACACAAAAUUAGAAGGUCAAUUAAAAAAAAAAAGUAAAUUAAAUAAUAACAAUAAUAAUAAUAAUAAUAAUAAUAAUAAUAAUAAUAAUAAUAAUACUGGGUUAGGAUAUAGUAAUGGUCCAUAUCCAAAAGAUGUAUGCAAUGGUUCUCAAGGUUUAUUAAAAAAUGUAAAAAAAGAAAUAAGUUGUGAUAAUAAUUAUAUGUUAAACGGAAUUAUAAAUGGAAACAAUACGAAUGAAAAUAGAGACCAUGUUUUCUUUGAAAAUUAUAACAACGGAUGUAUUGAUUUAAGUAAUGACUUAUUCAACGGAAUGAAUAGUAAAGAUAGAAUGUAUAAUGAAAAUAGUUUAAAAAAGGAUAACGAUGUGAUAAAAGAGAUGGUAUAUAACGGUAAUAGUACCAAUAACCGCCAGAGUAGCAAUAACGGAGUAGGUAGGAGAUCCAAAAAUAAUACUGAAAAUAAAUAUUCAAAUAUUGAUAAUAAAGCUAUAAAUAAAAAUAAUGAAAAAAUAGAUGCUUUAAUUGAAAGUAACACAAAUAUUAGAUUACCAAAAAAUGAAAUAUUAAACCAAGCAUCUAAGUUACCAAAAUUACAAGGAAUGUUUUUCGACAAACGACGAAAUUAUUGGACUGUUAGUGUCUGUGGUUUUCGUAAAUCAUUUGGCGUUAGAACCAGAGGAGUGUACCAAGCAUAUAAACUAGCUGCUGAGUUUAGAAAUCAUAUUUUAGAAACGACUAAAGGUAAAUGUUACCCUCAAAAAUAUUCAAGUCUUGGAAGUAAUUUUAAAUAUAAUAGCAAAAAUGGUGUUAGUACUUCUGUUACUGAUUCUACUGGUGCCGUUACCCGUAACAACGAAAACAACAAUAACAGUAAUAAUGUUACAAAAGAUGAAAAAACCAAUUUCCUCAGUGACUGUUCUACUACCACUACUACUACUGCUGCUACUACCACUACUACUACUGCUGUUACCACUACUACUACUGCUGUUACCACUACUACUACUGCUGCUAAUACAUCUGCUACUACUACUACUAGCGCUACUAGUAACGGACUGUUAUCAACACCUUUUGAAGAUGAAUAUAAAAAUAAAUCCAAUUUAACAAAUAGAUUAAGUAGCAAUGAUAAAGAAUUAUUUUAUAAUACUAGUUUUAAUGAAAGGAUGAAUAGUGUUAAUUUAAAAAAUAGUAAUAACAAAAUAAUAAACAAGACAUGCUCAAAUAUUUAUGAUUAUUACAUGGAAAAAAAUAUGCAAAGUAUAAUGAACAGUAAAAAUAGUAGUACUAAUAAGUUUAUAAAUAAUGAAAAUACAACAAAUAGUACUAGUUUUGGAUUUUACGAUGAAAAUUUGAGUAAUAUUAUAUACGAUGAUAAAGUUAUGCAUAAAAAGAACUUAUAUAAAUGUAAAAAUAGUAAAUCGAAACAUAACAACAUUAUUGAAGACGCAGUUAUAUAUAAUAAUAGUAAUACUACUUUUUAUAAUAGUAGUAGUAUUAGUAGUGUUGGUAGUUACAGCAAUUCUCCUACUUUAAUUUAUGAUGAUAGUAACAACAAUAGUAGUAGUACUAACACAGAUUCGAGCUUAAUUACUUUUUUUAGUGAUAUAGACAUACCGAAAAAAAAUGAAAACAGUUUGUUUAAAGGAGUUACUAUUAUUCCUGCAAGUAACAAUACUGGUAGCAGUAGCAACAAUAAUAUUAAUAUACAAAAAAAUACAUUAUCAAAUAAUAAGAUAUUGAACAGUACAGGAUUUAUGUCAAAUUAUUCACUUUCUGUUAUAUGCGAAGCAGAUAAUAAUAUACUACAAAAUACUUUAGAUUGUUUUAUUAGAAAAGAAAAUAGUCUAAACGAAUCGUUAAGUUAUAAGGAUAAAACCAAUGGUACUACUACCGGUACUACCACCGGUACUACUAUUCCUGAUGAUACUAUUACUGGUGCUACUACGACUACUGGUGUUACUACUGAUAGUGACAAUGUCAAUAGUAGCAAUUCGAAGCAAACUGGUAUUAGUAAGAAUGCGCAAAAUGACGAUAAUAACAAUUUGAAAAUAAAUGGCUAUAUAACAGAUAAUGAUAUAACAAAUAGUAAUAUAAAUAAUUAUAAAAAUUUAAACUUAACUAAUUACAAAGGACAAUAUAACAAAAUAUAUCCAAAUAACAUGACUAGUUCUUUUAGUGACUAUCCGUGUUUUAAUUUUCAGAACGAAGUGUUAAAUGAGUAUGGUACAAAUGUAGAAAACAAAAUGGGUACUCUAAAUAUACAGGAAAAACCAUUAACAUUUUCAAAUUUAAAUAAUUUGUUUUAUCCUUUAGAUAGUAAUUAUGAAAAUGAAGAUACUUACAAUAGUAUAUACACUGGUGCAUAUGACACUAGCUAUUGUUAUAAUAACACAAAAGGUAUUUAUGGUAGUAAAAAUAAUAAUGAUGUUACUCGUAUUAGCGGUAAUGAAAGUAGUCGUUACAACAACAUUAAUAGUAGUACAAAAAAUGAGAGUAAUAUUAAUGAUAGUGACAAUUAUACUGGUAAAAACUAUGACAGUUGUAACACAAACGAUAAUAAUGAUGAGAAUAAAAAUGAGCUAUAUAAAGAUUAUAAUAUAGAUUCUGAAAAUAAAAUGUUUAAUUUUAAUAACAUAAUAGAAGAAACGAUAGAACAAAGGGAUAUGCGAAUAAAUAAAGAAGUAAAUAAUUGUAAAUUUGUUGAUGGACUAAUAUAUGAUGAGGCUAAUAAAUGUUUUCGCAUAAAAAUUAAUGGAUAUAGAAAAGCCUAUUCAGUUAUUAGACGUGGUGUUAAAGAAGCUUAUAAAUUAAGUAUUGAAGCAAUUGAUCAGAUAAAAAAACAAAGUAAAAUAAACACUAGUACUUAUAUAAAUAAUUUAGAAGAACCAAAUAUUACUACGAACAAUUUCUCAAGUUAUUAUAAUUAUAAUUCUGAUUAUAAUUAUAAUCCUGAUCAUGCUUCUAUUCACAAUUAUCAGAAUAAAACUAAACAAGAUGCACAAAAUGAAUUUACUGAAAAUAUAUAUGACAAUAUUUUGGACAUAAACACAAAAACUGACAGAACUAACGAACUUAACGAUAUUAACCAAAGUGAUUUACUCGCUGAUGUCAAAAGGAUAACUGAAAUGAAUGAUGUUACAAUAUUAAAUAUGGAUGAUAAAUAUAAUGAAUUACUUAAAGCAGCCAUAAUAAUUUGUUUGAAUGACAUAUUGAUGAAUUGCAUACCUAAAGUGUUCCAUAUAUAUCAAUCCCUGAGCAUAGAAAAUAAUGUAAAAAUAUAUUAUAUAAUACAUACAGAAAAAAAAAGAAAAGAACAGUCUUUAAAAUAUCAUAUAGAGUAUACACAAAAUGCUAUAGGAGUAUCACCACUUAUGCCAUAUCUUAAAUUGUUCAGUACCGAAAUUUUGAAUAAUAUAUUACCAUCAGCACAGUCCUUAGAAAAUCAAAGUCUAAUUAUUCAUUCUCUUGAUUUGCAAUCAUAUAACACUUCGUAUUAA